Lagopus leucura (white-tailed ptarmigan) is the source of this 1177-nucleotide long non-coding RNA. RefSeq lists it as uncharacterized. The transcript is spliced from 3 exons. NCBI's taxonomy places the organism in Eukaryota, Metazoa, Chordata, Aves, Galliformes, Phasianidae. The record is from RefSeq and is a predicted model, not a curated record.
CUUGAAGAGUGAACUAGAAUUCCCCCUUCCCUUAAACUGAAGUUACAGAAGCUUUCUAGGAAAUUGGCUCAAAUUUAAAAUGUUUUCAUAUUAGGUAAAUAUUUAUAAAAAAUAAGUAUAAUGUAGCUGCCAGAGUAUAGGCAGUGCUGAAGAAUGGAGGCUGAAAAAGCUUCCCCAUUCAUGAGCUGGAUAUGAAGAAGCUAGCAUGACCUAACCAUCAUGUGCAACUCCAUUUGGAAGGAAUCGCACCUCUUUCUUAGUAAAGAGUAUUCUGCAGUGGAACACCCUAUCACAGUCUAAACAUACUGUGAGUACCUGCUGUUGAGUUGAGGAAGAGUGAAAGUUGACAAAAUAAAGAUGCCUAUUACCAGUAGAAAGGAAAUAAUUGUGCUGGAAGCCAGAAGUAGGACCUUCUCAGGGGAUCAUACCUUCGGGACAACAUGAACACUUGCUGAAUUCUACUCCUGCUAAAUGCUUCUGGUGUAGCACUGUAAAAUGCCAGUAGAUGGCAGAAUGAUGCUGCUUUUCAAUAUACAUCGGUAGGAAUUUUUAAAAAAGAAUAAUUCUUCUGCGUUUAUUUACACAAAACUGAUUGUGAAGGAGAAAGCUCAGUGAAUGCAUUAGCUGGCUGUGGCCUUCUGCUUCCAUAAACACAAUUCUCUUGUGCUUGGUUUGUGAUGUUUUUGUUUUUCUUUUUUUUUUUUUUUUUUUUAGUAAUACCAAUUUUUAUCCUCAAAAGACAGUAUAACUGAUGUAAGUGUGGGUGUUCUGAUGCACAUCAACUUCUUAUUUGUUUUUCAGAUCAGUCACGUCUUUGUCCUUGAUUCCAUAGAGCUUUUGUGAAAUGGCACUGUUCUGGUAUACUGGGCAUGACCUCAAUACCUGCACAGCAGCUGGGGGCCCGGCUCAGAGAACAUGAUAAGACUAUAGUAAGAUGGCCAUGGCUGCUCCCUUCUUGUUUGCUGACAGCCAACAGCUCUGCAUGUGGCUGAAUCACACAGGAAACAGGUUCUGGACUGCUGCUGGCUGUGGUCCAGUGGAUGUCCAGUGUAUUAAAGUAAAUCAGUGUCAAUUAACAGCAUCCUGUUCAUUUCCAAAAGCGAAUUAAAUACUAGCCAAAGUGUUAUCAGCUUUAUAUAAAUAGAAGUGUUCAGAGCAAUUGCACUGAAAUGUUCAA